RNAcentral lists this ribosomal RNA (410 nucleotides) under Lasaeola tristis. RNAcentral describes it as "partial 16S ribosomal RNA". The record is from RNAcentral. Lineage: Eukaryota; Metazoa; Arthropoda; Arachnida; Araneae; Theridiidae.
UUUUUUAAUAGCCGCAGAUUUCCUGUGCUAAGGUAGCAUAAUCAUUUGUUUUUUAAUUAAAAACUAGAAUGAAAGGUUUUACAUUUAAUUUCUUUAUUUAAUUUACCAAUUUAAACUUAUAUUAAAUAUAAAAAUAUAUUUUUACAAAAAAAAGACAACAAGACCCUAUUAAACUUUACUUUAGUUUAGCUGGGGCAGCUAAUUAAUUAAAAUUUUAAUUAUUUAUAGUUUUAAUAAAUGACCUUAUACAAAUAAAUUAUUUAAUCAAGUUACUAUAGGGAUAACAGCGUAAUCUUCUUCUAAAGCUCUUAUUUAAAAGAAAUUUUGCGACCUCGAUGUUGAAUUAUUAUUCCUAAAAAAAGAAAAAAUUUUUUAAGAAGGUCUGUUCGACCUUUAAACUAAUACAUGAU